This 565-nucleotide ribosomal RNA is filed under the name Sporobolomyces sp. RNAcentral describes it as "eukaryotic LSU rRNA". It matches the Rfam family "Eukaryotic large subunit ribosomal RNA", at positions 66 to 645 of the family's 3401-position model. Lineage: Eukaryota; Fungi; Basidiomycota; Microbotryomycetes; Sporidiobolales; Sporidiobolaceae. The record is from RNAcentral.
UAACAAGGAUUCCCCUAGUAGCGGCGAGCGAAGCGGGAAAAGCUCAAAUUUGUAAUCUGGCGUCUACGACGUCCGAGUUGUAAUCUCGAGAAGUGUUUUCCGUGAUAGACCGCAUACAAGUCUCUUGGAACAGAGCGUCAUAGUGGUGAGAACCCAGUACACGAUGCGGAUGCCUAUUACUUUGUGAUACACUUUCGAAGAGUCGAGUUGUUUGGGAAUGCAGCUCAAAUUGGGUGGUAAAUUCCACCUAAAGCUAAAUAUUGGCGAGAGACCGAUAGCGAACAAGUACCGUGAGGGAAAGAUGAAAAGCACUUUGGAAAGAGAGUUAACAGUACGUGAAAUUGUUGGAAGGGAAACACAUGCAGCCAGACUUGCUAUUCGGGGCAACUCGAUUGGCAGGCCCGCAUCAGUUUUUCGGGGCGGAAAAGCAUAGAGAGAAGGUAGCAAUUUCGGUUGUGUUAUAGCUCUUUAUUGGAUUCGCCCUGGGGGACUGAGGAACGCAGCGUGCUUUUAGCAUAACCUUCGGGUUAUCCACGCUUAGGAUGCGGGUGUAAUGGCUGUAUAU